GAUUAACGCUAGCGGCAGGCAUAAUACAUGCAAGUUGAACGGGAUUAGUUGUAGCAAUAUGACUAUGAGAGUAGCGCACGGGUGCGUAACGCGUAUGCAACCUGCCUUCAUCUGGGGAAUAGCCCCUCGAAAGAGGGGAUUAAUACCGCAUAACAUAGUGAGUAGGCAUCUACUUACUAUUAAAACUACGGUGGAUGAAGAUGGGCAUGCGUGACAUUAGCUAGUUGGUAGGGUAAUGGCCUACCAAGGCUACGAUGUCUAGGGGGUCUGAGAGGAUGUCCCCCCACACUGGUACUGAGAUACGGACCAGACUCCUACGGGAGGCAGCAGUAGGGAAUAUUGGUCAAUGGGCGCAAGCCUGAACCAGCCAUGCCGCGUGCAGGAUGACGGCCCUAUGGGUUGUAAACUGCUUUUGACGGGAGAAACCUCAUUACGUGUAAUGAGUUGACGGUACCGUGAGAAUAAGGAUCGGCUAACUUCGUG
Molecule: ribosomal RNA, 483 nt
Filed under: uncultured bacterium
Lineage: Bacteria
Description: bacterial SSU rRNA
Rfam family: Bacterial small subunit ribosomal RNA
Source: RNAcentral